Long non-coding RNA from Biomphalaria glabrata, 4655 nucleotides. RefSeq lists it as uncharacterized. Lineage: Eukaryota; Metazoa; Mollusca; Gastropoda; Planorbidae. The transcript has 3 exons. The record is from RefSeq and is a predicted model, not a curated record.
UGGGGGAGAGGGCGAGGGUACACUAUACAUAAUGCAUUCAGACACACAAACACACACGCUAGACCAUAAAACGAAGCAAUCGGACACCCAAACAAACAUGGUCGGAGGCUAAAAAAAGUACAUUAACAAUCAAAACCCAAAUACUACUUCACAUACGGAGGACAUAGAAAUAACCAUAUCGAAAACAAAACAUAAGAUUCGCAUCACUGCAACAUUUAGCACCUCAGGACAAAUCCAUAAACAUUAGCAAUACGAUCCAUUGACAACAAAAACACAAUGCGGGCGCACCAAUAGGACCAAAUACAUAACAUUUUCAAAAUGAUACAUGUGUAGACAGAAAUACGGGUCGGGGGGAGAGGGCGAGGGUACACUAUACAUAAUGCAUUCAGACACUCAAACACACACGCUAGACCAUAAAACGAAGCAAUCGGACACCCAAACAAACAUGGUGGGAGGCUAAAAAAAGUACAUUAACAAUCAAAACCCAAAUACUACUUCACAUACGGAGGACAUAGAAAUAACCAUAUCGAAAACAAAACAUAAGAUUCGCAUCACUGCAACAUUUAGCACCUCAGGACAAAUCUAUAAACAUUAGCAAUACGAUCCAUUGACAACAAAAACACAAUGCGGGCGCACCAAUAGGACCAAAUACAUAACAUUUUCAAAAUGAUACAUGUGUAGACAGAAAUACGGGUCGGGGAGAGAGGGCGAGGGUACACUAUACAUAAUGCAUUCAGACACUCAAACACACACGCUAGACCAUAAAACGAAGCAAUCGGACACCCAAACAAACAUGGUGGGAGGCUAAAAAAAGUACAUUAACAAUCAAAACCCAAAUACUACUUCACAUACGGAGGACAUAGAAAUAACCAUAUCGAAAACAAAACAUAAGAUUCGCAUCACUGCAACAUUUAGCACCUCAGGACAAAUCCAUAAACAUUAGCAAUACGAUCCAUUGACAACAAAAACACAAUGCGGGCGCACCAAUAGGACCAAAUACAUAACAUUUUCAAAAUGAUACAUGUGUAGACAGAAAUACAGGUCGGGGGGAGAGGGCGAGGGUACACUAUACAUAAUGCAUUCAGACACUCAAACACACACGCUAGACCAUAAAACGAAGCAAUCGGACACCCAAACAAACAUGGUGGGAGGCUAAAAAAAGUACAUUAACAAUCAAAACCCAAAUACUACUUCACAUACGGAGGACAUAGAAAUAACCAUAUCGAAAACAAAACAUAAGAUUCGCAUCACUGCAACAUUUAGCACCUCAGGACAAAUCUAUAAACAUUAGCAAUACGAUCCAUUGACAACAAAAACACAAUGCUGGCACACCAAUAGGACCAAAUACAUAACAUUUUCAAAAUGAUACAUGUGUAGACAGAAAUACGGGUCGGGGGGAGAGGGCGAGGGUACACUAUACAUAAUGCAUUCAGACACUCAAACACACGCGCUAGACCAUAAAACGAAGCAAUCGGACACCCAAACAAACAUGGUGGGAGGCUAAAAAAAGUACAUUAACAAUCAAAACCCAAAUACUACUUCACAUAUGGCGGACAAAGAAAUAACCAUAUCGAAAACAAAACAUAAGAUUCGCAUCACUGCAACAUUUAGCUCCUCAGGACAAAUCCAUAAACAUUAGCAAUACGAUCCAUUGACAACAAAAACACAAUGCGAGCACACCAAUAGGACAAAAUACUGUUGUAACCUUGCCUUGCACAAGUGCUUUAGGUGCGCACUAGCGCACUAGUGAACGUAAACAGGAAGACACUAGAAGAGUGAGAAGUACAGUGCAUCUGGGAAUUGUUGUAACUCUAGGGUUGUUCCUGGAGUUAGUGAAAAAUUGUAGACUCCCCUUUGCUGUGAGUUCUCCCGGUGUGUGGCGAAGCUCCAAAGCCAAGCGCUAUUUCAGCUAAAAAGUGGUCGACGUAACAAAGAUGACCCAUGGAAAUUCUUUCAAUACCAGCUUAGGCGCCAACUUGCCUUAGCUGACAUAGAAGACAGCAUCUUGGUUACAUGCGGCUUUUGAAUGAUAAAAUAGAAAAAGGAUGAAUCACACCUUUCAGUAUAUUCUGUGACGUUUUAUGACCAGCUAUUAUAACACAGUGCAGGACAGGCCACUGUCCUGUUGGCUCAUAUUUCUCACGGCCAUGGCCAAAUUUCGAUUCACAGUGCCCCCGUUCCUCCAUAUUCUGUUUGGCUGCCUGAUCUCCGUCUCAACAGGUCAGAGAAACCAAAAUUCUCGACCUGUAUGCCCUACGCAAUACAGAAGAGUUUGAUGAUAUUGAUGAUGGUGACUUCUUAUGCCCUAUUUUCUGUCUUGGUGAGAGUUAUUGUAAGAUUGAAUUAUUGAUCUGCAGAUGUCGAAGUAUUGACUAGCCUUUGUAAUCAAUACUGCGAACGGUAGUGAGAGCUGCAUCGUCGUCAAACACCAAUUCCCUAAUCAGGAUAUGUCGUCUUCUCGUUUUGGUCAAGCCAGUUUAAGAAGCCUUCCAUCCGAUCUACUGUGGAUAUAUACAUCUUCAAGGUUUUUAAACACGCUAUGAGAGUACAGGCGAAACAAUUCCGAAUAGUGUUAAUGGCCAAAACCCAACCUUGUUUUAUCCUGCUCUUGAUAGAUAAUAACUAAAAGUCUAAGAGGAAUAACUGUAAAACUUUACAGUUCCUUUCAUGUGUGGCUGACAUUAGUUUCAAUAGCUUAUUUAGACAGACAAUUUUCACUAGUAAAAACCACUUUUGCUUAGUGUGAGCAUAUUGCUAAAUGAAGUUCAUAUUUCUAUUACUUUCUACUCGUCACCCAAGAGAAAUUUUAUUUAAAACAAUUUUUAUAAUGCAUGUAUCUUUUUUACUACUUCCAAAAACCUGAUUUGAUUGUCACUAACUUUCAAAUUGAAGGGGAUCUACUACAAGUGAGAUUUUUUUUUACUUUCUCCAAUAACAUUGUGUGUUGUAUUUUUUAAAAACAUAAAGGUAUCACUUUAAAUUACUUGUCCUUGUGAAAUAAUAAGUAAAAGUCAGCUAAAGUACAUGCUAUAUUUAAUCAGCUUUAAAGAUGCUGUCCAUUGUUGUAACAUAAAAUAGUCUUACAUUUUUAUUAGCAAAUAUAUAUAUAUAUUUAUAACAUGUCUAAACUAGUUUGAAUUUCUUGUCUUUUUUGUCUCAGCUGGUCAUGAAUUUUGAGAUACUACAGCUAAUAUUUUUAUAAGUCAAUAAGCUCUAAGUCUCAUGUUAGUUAAAGUAUUGUUUUUAAUUUUUUUAGUGUGCUAGUUAACUUGAUUCAGCUUACAUUCACAGUUAAAAAAAACACUGAUUAUACAUAUACAGAUUUAAUGUUUCUGGUGAGCAAUACUACUGUCAACAGCCAUUACCAAUUAGCCUACUCGUACUAGAUCUGGCUCUAUUGAUCACUACUCAUAUAUUGCCUAGAUAUAAACAACUACUAGUUUGGACUAGACAUUCUAAUAGGUUCUAUUUUCUUUUUUUUUAAUUGUUCUCACAAUUCCAGUAGGAUGAGUAGGUACCAAACUGUGCUAUUAUUCAUAAAGAUCUAGAUCUUAACUUUUAAGUACCAAAGAAGUACGCAAAGGAUGUUGAAUGGUACACAAAGUGCUAUAAUUGCCACCAUUCAAUGUGUGGAUUCAAGUAUUUACCCAGAUACUGCCACAAUAUAUUCAUAGUUUUCAAAAGAGUUUGCACCCAGUGCCAGAAGCUGUAUAAAUACAUUUAACAGUAAGUAUUUAAUUAAUUCAUAAUUUAUUUUUAAACAGUAUGUAAGUCUAUUUUUAUUGUAAGAAUCCAUGUGCUAUUUUAUUUAAAGCUAAUUUUCUUGGUAAAUAUUUACACAAUAUUGUUGUUAUAUUGUAAAUAAAACAUUAUAUUCCCUUCAGUAUGUGCAUUUUUAAAGUGAUAAUUGCCUCAUGCAGGCCAAUACCACUCUUUUUUUAUCUAAGGUGUUUUCCUUCACAUUAUAUUUUCUUGCAUACGAAUUAAACAUACAACAAUUGUCAAUUAGAAGUACAGAUUUACCAGUUAUCUUGGUUGAAAAGGAUGUCAGAUGAGUUGAGAAAAUGCUUAAAGAAAGUCUUUACAUAAUUAUUUGAACUUAAGUCACUAUAAAUUUUUAGAUAUUUUUAAAAUAUAUUGUUUACAAAAGCAAAUAAUCUAAGAAUCUGUGAAAUUCGCAAUAUCUUAUUGGGAAAAAUAUGAGGAUGAUGCUGAGAUUAUAUUUAUUCUUUAAUUGUGAUACUAUUUUACAUCUCUCUAAAUGUAUUUUAAUUUUAUUUAAUUGAUUUGCUAAUGAGUGAUAAUUGUAAAGUUUAUUUAAAAAAAAACAACAUUUGUUGGAAUCAAAAAAUAAAUCUACAUUAAUUAAUAAUCAACCUAUAAAAUAGAAUACUUAGACAUUUUUUAAAAAUAUAUUCAUGCAUUAGACAUUAAUAUUUAGAAUGUAUUUAAUAUUUUGAUGAUACCCAUUAUGUUCUUCAUUAAAUAGUGUUGCAGAUUUUAUAUAAAAUUGAUAUAGAUGUAAAAAUUAUUUACAUUUUCAUGCAUCAAAAAUUACUUGAAAUCAAAGCAUUACUUUUCAUUUUUUUAAAUAAUAUUUUCAGCAUAAUAAUUAAUUCAUACUUUAAAAGUAUAGAUACCAGACACUAAAAUAA